RNAcentral lists this ribosomal RNA (262 nucleotides) under uncultured archaeon. Its description in RNAcentral is "partial 16S ribosomal RNA". It matches the Rfam family "Archaeal small subunit ribosomal RNA", at positions 717 to 982 of the family's 1478-position model. The record is from RNAcentral.
AGACGUCUACAUUAGAUACCCGGGUAGUCCCAGCCGUAAACUAUGCGCGUUAGGUGUAUCGGUGACCACGAGUCACCGAGGUGCCGAAGGGAAACCGUGAAACGUGCCGCCUGGGAAGUACGGUCGCAAGGCUGAAACUUAAGGAAUUGCGGGGAGCACCACAACAGGUGGAGCCUGCGGUUUAAUUGGACUCAACGCCGGGAAGCUCACCGGAUAGGACAGCAGAAUGAUUGCCGGGCUGAAGACCCUGCAUGACUAGCUG